UUAAAUUGAAGAGUUUGAUCAUGGCUCAGAUUGAACGCUGGCGGCAGGCCUAACACAUGCAAGUCGAACGGUAACAGGAAGCAGCUUGCUGCUUUGCUGACGAGUGGCGGACGGGGGAGUAAUGGCUGGGAAAAUGACUGAUGGAGGG
This 148-nucleotide ribosomal RNA is filed under the name Escherichia coli. RNAcentral's name for it is "partial 16S ribosomal RNA". It matches the Rfam family "Bacterial small subunit ribosomal RNA", at positions 1 to 140 of the family's 1533-position model. Lineage: Bacteria; Pseudomonadati; Pseudomonadota; Gammaproteobacteria; Enterobacterales; Enterobacteriaceae. The record is from RNAcentral.